Quercus lobata is the source of this 290-nucleotide long non-coding RNA. RefSeq lists it as uncharacterized. The transcript has 2 exons. The record is from RefSeq and is a predicted model, not a curated record. Lineage: Eukaryota; Viridiplantae; Streptophyta; Magnoliopsida; Fagales; Fagaceae.
UUAGUACUUUAUGACCUUGUGUAUAUAUUACAGUAUUAUCUUGAGAAAAAUCUUGAUGCGAGGAUGAGGGAGCUAGAACGUGAGGCCGAGCUGAUAUGCUGAAGGCUCCUAAAAUUAAUGCCAAAUCCAAGAUGUCUAAGGCCGAGAAGGAAGCCCUGAAGAAGCAGAAAAGGCAAGCAUUUCAGCAGGCAAAACAAAAAUCAAAAGGAACGAAGAAUUCUAAGAGGUGGAAUUGAUUGAUUCACCCAUAUUCUUCAUUGAAGAUUCCUCCAAUGUUUCAAUUUUUUUUU